RNA transcript from Pangasianodon hypophthalmus (striped catfish), 8439 nucleotides. It is a transcript of the gene named potassium voltage-gated channel, subfamily H (eag-related), member 8, with no coding region annotated. The transcript has 17 exons. NCBI's taxonomy places the organism in Eukaryota, Metazoa, Chordata, Actinopteri, Siluriformes, Pangasiidae. The record is from RefSeq and is a predicted model, not a curated record.
GGUGUUAUACCUGCGGGUCUCUCUCUCUCUCUCUCUCUCUCUCUCUCUCCCUCUCUCUCUGUUUGGUUCCUCGAGGAACAGGAAAGAGACGCGCGCGCUGUGACCGAGCCUAGUUUUCCCCGGAGAUAAAUUCAUUAUCUGUAUUUUUGGUUUGUUUUAUUGUUGCCAGUGUUUUGUUUUUUUCCUCGUAUCCUCACUCUCUGUCAGUUUGAUGGGAUCCGCGCUCUGCCCGGGCCGUGAACAUGCCGGUGAUGAAGGGACUGCUCGCGCCUCAGAACACGUUCCUGGACACCAUCGCCACGCGCUUUGACGGCACGCCAGAUUGCAGUAAAUUACCUGUCCUCCUGCCUGAAGGUACGGACUACAGAAGCAACUGAGAAGCAGCUCGGAUUUGGUUGGACUCAUUUCUCAGCUUGUCUUAUUACAGCAACUUCAUCCUGGCUAACGCACAGGUAGCAAAGGGGUUUCCCAUAGUUUACUGUUCAGAUGGCUUCUGCGAGCUCACGGGUUUCGCACGCACUGAGGUCAUGCAGCAAAGCUGUGCAUGCAGGUUUCUUUAUGGGCUCGAGAGCAGCGAACACGCCAUCCUGCGUGUGGAUUCUGCCCUUGAAGAGCGCAGCGAGCUUAAAGAGGAGAUCAUGUUUUAUAAAAAGAAUGGUUGUGUGUUCUGGUGUCUUCUGGACAUUGUGCCUAUUAAAAACGAGAAAGGCGAUGUUGUUCUCUUCCUUGCUUCAUUCAAAGACAUCACAGACACCAAGGCAAAAGCCAUUCCAGUUGAAAAGAAAGAAGAGCGUCAUCAUGGUCAGAUCAAAGGUGGAUCUCCAUUCAGCGCCGCUCGGGUUCGCUCUAACACGGUCCUCUACCACAUCUCAGGACAUCUCCACAACCGGCAGAAACAAAACAAAAUCAAACUCAAUAAGAAUGUUUUCGGGGAUCCGCCAGCUCUGCCGGAAUACAAAGUUGCGGAUGCCAGGAAGUCCAAGUUCAUCCUCCUCCACUUCAGCACAUUCAAGGCUGGCUGGGAUUGGCUAAUCCUGCUGGCUACUUUCUAUGUGGCUGUGACUGUGCCGUACAACGUGUGUUUUAUUGGUGAUGAAGACUUGACACGCAGCACCACUGUCAGUGACAUCGCUGUGGAGAUCCUUUUUAUCAUUGACAUCAUGCUUAACUUUCGCACUACAUAUGUGAGCACGUCUGGUCAAGUGAUCUUCGAUGCACGGCAGAUCUGCAUCCACUACAUGACCACCUGGUUAAUCAUCGACUUUGUGGCCGCAUUGCCCUUUGAUCUCCUCUAUGCCUUCAAUGUUAGCGUGGUCUCAGUUGUGCACUUGUUAAAGACAGUACGUUUGCUGCGCCUGCUGCGUCUGCUGCAAAAAAUGGACCGCUACUCUCAGCACAGCACAGUGGUGCUCACCCUGCUCAUGUCCAUGUUUGCCCUGCUGGCCCACUGGAUGGCCUGCAUCUGGUACAUCAUUGGAAAGAAGGAGAUGGACAGCAAUGUGCGUACCACUUGGGAUAUAGGUUGGCUGCAUGAGCUGGGAAAGCGUUUGGAGCUCCCUUAUAGCACAGUGAAUGGCUCAGCUAACAGCGGUCCUUCACUGCGCAGUGUCUACAUCGCUUCACUUUACUUCACUCUGAGCAGUCUGACCAGUGUGGGCUUCGGCAAUGUCUCCGCUAACACUGAUGCUGAGAAGAUCUUCUCUAUCUGCACUAUGCUUAUUGGAGCACUCAUGCACGCUCUAGUAUUCGGUAAUGUGACAGCCAUCAUUCAGCGCAUGUACUCACGCUGGUCCUUGUACCAUACACGUACUAAAGACCUGAAGGACUUCAUAAGAGUGCACCACCUGCCGCAGAGCCUCAAACAGCGCAUGCUAGAGUACUUCCAGACUACCUGGUCUGUCAACAAUGGCAUCGACUCCAAUGAGCUCCUGAAAGACUUCCCUGACGAGUUGCGUUCGGACAUCGCCAUGCACCUGAACAAGGAAAUUCUGGAGCUGGCUGUGUUCUCAUCUCUGAGUCGUGGUUGUCUGCGCUCUCUGUCGCUGCACAUAAAGACAUCAUUUUGUGCGCCUGGAGAAUACCUCUUGCGGCAAGGAGAUUCACUGCAGGCCCUCUUCUUUGUCUGCUCUGGCUCCAUGGAGGUGCUUAAGGACGGCAUGGUGCUUGCUAUUCUUGGUAAAGGGGACCUGAUUGGGGCCAACUUGUCUGUGGAAAACUGGGUGAUAAAGACAAGUGCAGACGUGAAAGCACUGACAUAUUGUGAUUUGCAGUGCAUUAAUCUGCGGGGACUGUAUGAGGUGCUGCACCUGUACCCUGAGUACUCCCACCACUUUGUCCAGGACAUCACUCAAGACCUCACCUACAACCUCAGAGAGGGGCAGGAGAGCCAUGUGGAGGGGAGGAGAAAUGGAAGCUUGAACCAACACAGUGGAACCAUAAACUCUCAUCAACAUGAAGAAGAACUUUGCAUUCAACACAAUGCAGUUACCAAACCUGACCCCUCUAAUCUCAGUCCCAGGAUUGUUGAUGGUACAGAAGCUAGUGAAGGAACAGAGACAGAGAACUCUUCAGCAUUCUCUUUCUUUCCUGGUCACCAGAACAGUUCAGCCAACACAACCACCAGCAAUACAGGUAUUCUGCAGGUAAGCUCUGCUGAGCUAGCAGCAAAAUCAGAAGAGACCAGAGGGCAGUUAGGCCACCUGGACCAAGAGGUAAGCGCCCUUGGACAGGAAGUAGCUGAACUGGGCCGGGUAAUGAGGAGCAUUGCUUUUCUCAUCGAAUCCAUGAUGGCUAUGCCACAACCGGCCAAUAUCUAUAGCCCUCGCUGCACCCAAGGACAUCCCACACAGGCCAUUACUCCUGAGGACCAGGUCAUACCUUGGAUUAAUCGGCUUCCUUCCCGACAGGUGCAAACUGGGUUACCUCCUGGAGGAGUUGCAACAAUCACAGCACAGGAACUGUAGGUUGUUUGCACCUCAGAUAUUUUAUUCCCUGAUGCCAUCACCAGUUCUCCAUUUAUAGACCUCUCCCCCUCUGUUCUGUUGUCCCAAUCAGACAUUAAUAGAUCCAGUACGCUAAGAAGCAGAUCCCAAAGCCUGAAAACUCACACCACUGGAACAUUACUUUGUAUCUCCUGAACAAGGGACAGGUCACAGUCCCCUGGGUUUAUAGCAACAAAACAUGAAUGUACAAUCUCCAGGUAAUCCUAAGUGAGACCAUGAGGCAUGUGAACUAUGACUCAGAGCAGUGUGGAUGAAGGCACAAAUUAAAGCCAUUAACACUUAUUAAAAUGCACAUUGAAUAGAAGGUAUUAAAUGAAAUAGUGGUGCCGGUUUAUAUUACCACUCUACUGGGAUAUUAGAUGAUCAUUAUCAUAUUCUGUCCCUAACCAGACCACUCUUAAAUUCAAGGUCUAAACAAAUUCAAUAUGAUUGUGGCUGAAGUCAAGGCUGGGCCUUGACUAUAAUGUAAUGGAGAUAUAUAUAUAGCCUAACCCAUUUCAAAACAUUGUGGAUUUAAAUCUCUUCCAAUAUACACAUCCCUCUAAUAGAUGAUUUUGAGCAAAGUAUUAUUUAUACCGAAGAAAGGGUUCUCUGCAGACAGUAACAUGCAUUGCAUCUUGUCUGCAUUUUUGGGGGGUUUGAAAAUUCAGAAGAAGCUGCAGCUUUUGUACAUCACACCAUUUCGUGUUUCUCUACCUACCUAUGAAUGAUCAUUCAUUCAUGUUUGACCAUGAAAAUAGUACAAACACUAAAAAAUGCUGUGUGCCCAACCGAAAUAGCAACACGUUUCCAUUAACUGGCAAAUAACACUUGCCAAAAUGGAGGCCUUGAAAAAUGCUCAUAAUAAAUGCACUGAACCUGUGAAAGAAGCCUUCAGAAAACUACUGUAAAGACAUUUUUAUUUAAAAGGCUUCUGGAGUUUAACGAACCUUUUGAAAGCAUGCUUGUGCACAAACUCAGUACAAUGUUUGUACUGACCUUUACAGUCAAUUACUAAGACCAAGGUUUUUAAACUUGGGUGCAUAUUUAUUAUCAGCACAGUUUUAUUAUCUACGGUCUAUUUAUGAAUGCCGUCACAAAAAUCUUUUCAGUUUUUGCGUGUUUUCUUUUUUAGGCGCAUGUGUAAUGAGUGGGCGUGGCAUAACAAUAGGUCAUUGAGACUCCAUAUAGAGUUAUUCAGUAGGCAUGACAGAAGCAUGAAGGUCAGCUUGCCAUUGUGUGUUUGUUUCCAUAUUUUCUCUUAAAAGAAAUAGCAGGGACGUGUCUUACAUGGGGUGUGUGUGUGUGUGUGUGUGUUUAAGUGGAGAGGCAGUGUUGAUGAAGAUGGAUAAACUUGUUGGUAGAAAGAACGGUGCUUGUGGGAGGGGAGUGCUUGCCCUUUCACUGUGCUUUAGCUGUGGUCCUGGGAGGCCGGCUAUUGGUCAUGUCACCACUGACUGUGUGGCGCACUGACUGCUGUCUUUUCCUGUUUUGUCCUUUUCCUCUCUGCCUUUCAUAUUAAUCUCUCUCUCUCCCCAACUGCAUGUUAGCAUUUCUUAGCAAAUUUUCUAUUUAUUUGUUUCUUUACAUAAUCUUAAUAGAAUUUACCUGCAUCCUAGUUUUAGAACUGUCAAAAAGUCAAUAUAAUGCAAUAAUAUAUUAUAUAUUACAGCAUUUUGCAAUGCUCACUGCAACCCUGUUGCAAACACAGACACUCCUACUCUGUCCCUCUUCUACUGGAGCAGCUUGUCCCAGAAUGAUAACACUGCUAAAAAAUUUAUGAAAGGUAUCGCUACUGUAGCAUUUUGGUCAGAUUUUUCCUUCAAGUGUCAGACUCUUCUCAGUCUUUUAACUGGUAAGAGAAAAACUUAAUAUUGGGAUUUUUUUAUACAUAUUUAUGAAAAUCACAACUUAAAGAUGUAUUUUUAUACCUCUGAUACCCAGGAACAGCCCGGGCAUUGGUGUUUUUGGGGUCAGAUGGUGGGUAAUGCUGGAUAAAAUGUGCAGUGUCUGGCAUACAGGGUACAGUGUAGUGCCAAUUACACUCUCACUCUGGCCGUGUGACUCUCUGGCCUGCUGGGUAUGUAAUUGAAUGAUUAAUUCUCUGUUAUUUAAUAUUAAUAUUAGUCUAUUAAGGUAAUAAAUGAGUACUCCUGUUAAACUGAUAUAUGGGAUUGUCCUCCUUAUUUUCUCUUCUACGUCUUUCAUACCAAAAGAUGGAAAGCACACACAUGGUUAAAGUACCUGAUAUGCAACUUAUGUCAAUCAUAACAACACUUAUGACAAUCUAAUUGUCCUCCUCCAAUGAAAAUGCCAAAAUACUACAGGAACGUAGAGAUUCUGCACACAAACAUAACACUGAGCACCUGCGUUCUUAUUUUAUGGAGUUUUAGGCUUACUGCUAUUUCAGGGGUUUGCUUAUUCUUAUGUUUUCUCAUGUGUGGUAUGUGGGAGAAUCAUUUAGUGUUUGUGUUUUAGAGUCUGUAAGGGAGGUGUCUUAAGUCUAAAGUUGGGGCAUUUGAACCUUGAACUGAAAAUGCCAAAGAGGAAUGCCAGAGCAGGUGGAAGAGACAACUAAACUCCAGCACAACACAUGGCUACACUGCUAAUAAGACCAUCGCUGAAUCCAGAGAAAUUACAUUUUACAUUUACAUUACAUUACUGAAAUCAGAAAUUACGUGUGCUUGGAAGAGACAGAAGUUAUAUUCUAAAUGGCAGGUUGACAUACACAGAGAAAAAAUGGAAAGGGAACAUAUGAGGAAAAUUAAUAUAAAUAUGAAUGCAAUAUUUGAACAGUGGCCAAUUUGAUUGAGUAUAAAUUACUAGAGGGUAACUAGACAUUACAAUAGCUGAGUGUUAACCCUGUCAAAUGCAUGCUGAAAGCUGAUUGGCUGGUGGCAGCCAUGUUUUUACAUAAUCAGGUCAGAUUAGCAGUAUACCAGAUUUCAGCUCAAACAGACUUAUGCAAACUCAGUUAAUUCUGCUCUCUAUGGAUGACCACACAGCAAGCUUUAUGGACAUUGUGAGAAUCUUGCCCUGAACAUGCCUGUCAAGUUUCAUGUUUUGAGUAAAUAAGGAUUGGCUCACUGGUAUUUAUACUAUAAGGGAGAAAAAGUUAGUCUGUGCCUGUCCCGGUAGCAGAUGCACUGCCAUGGCUGAGCUGUAUUACUGGAAGAUUUAGGUCGUUCUGCUCUUAGGAGGCGCUCUUUCACCAUUUACUCAUCAUUUUGUUGUUUUCUGUCAGCUUUCUGCCUUUUAUGGAGUUUUGUGAGCGUAACUAAAUUAGCUGUGUUGUGAUUGCGCUUGGCAAGUUGCGUGUAAUGGAGAUGGAUGCUCAUUUCCAUCAGAGGCUCAUCAGAGGAUUCAGCUCUGUGGCAGCUCCACCAGCCUCCUUCCUAAGGGGAAAACCGAAAUUUCUCAAGUGGAACGAAAGAGUAGUGCAAGUUUUGCAGAAGCUCAAAGAUUGUUUCACCAGUGCACCUAUACUCCACCAUCCAGACCCAUCACUGCCUUUCGAAGUAGAGGAAGCUAAAACCCGCUGAACGCAGCUACUAUGUGAAGAACAGGAAUUAAUCCAGGUUAAAGAAAUCACUGCGGGGAUUGGGAAGUUUUUAACUGCAGAUAUAAGUCCUGUGCUUCAGCCACGCCUCCUUGAGAAUCACACAAGUAAAAGUAGGUCCAGAGUGCUACUGUUAAAUCAGCCAUGUUUAAUUUGCUUCCUAAUGCACAGCUUUCGUUUUGUUAUAUGCAUGAAGAAUGAAGUCUGAAUGGAUCACUGUUUCAUUAAGCUUCCGUUAUUGUACUGUUAUAAUGCUGAAUGUUUUAAUCAAUUGAAAAUGGAAAACUAAGGCACAUAUUCAAGCAAUGCUUAUUUAUACUGUAUUGAUAAAGUAUUGUAUCGAAUUUGAGUUUCCCGAAUCAUUACACUCCUACUUAUUUAUUCUAUAUCCUAGUUAUUAUUUACAAUUGUACAGGUUUUCUGGAGCUGUUUAUUAGAUGGAUAAAUUAAUGUGGGAUGGGUUUCAUUAUGAGUUUUGCAGUUACAUUAACAUCAGUACAGUGUGAAUGAGCUUGGUCAGGGGAGACCAGUCUUAUCUGUAAAGGACUGUGUGGCUGAAGGGUUUUAUUCCAAACCAACAGGAGCACACCUGCCAUAAAAACCUUUGCCACACCAGGUCAAGGUUCCAGCAAUCACAGACAGGCAAUUUAAUGUAGCCAUUUACUGCCAUGUUUUUUCUGGAGGUGAGAGGAAACUGGAGAACCCAGAUGGAACCCACAUGGACAUUGGAAGAACAUGCAAAACAGAUAGUAGCCCAAGCUGUGAGGCAGCAGUGCUACCCGCUGUGCCACCAUAUCGCUCCUGAAUAAGUCCCUGGCCAAAAAUAAAUGGCAAAACUUUCUGGAAAUAUUAAUUUAUCACAAUCUUUUUCUUAUUCUUUAAAAAAGGGAUUUCCAAACCUUUCUUGUAUUAUAAUUAUGACAUUUUGUUAGCACUAACACUGCAUUUUGGUUCAACUCAGUAAGAAGGUUUUAAGUGUUUUAUGCUGAAUGCCAGACAGAUUUCCCUCACCAGUUAAUACCUGUACUGGGAGCAGUGAUGUGUCUGGGACUGAAGAAUAGCUGUCUUAUUACAGCAACUGAUUCCUGACAGACUAAUCAGACACUUCCCUCUGAACUUAGUGAAAAAAUAAUCAUUUUGCCAACACGCCUGCUUUCUAUUAUUUGUGUGUUUGGUGCCAUCAGUAGCUCAGCAACAUUAAUGUAGGUGUGUAAAAUGAAUAUCAUUAACGUUGAGAAGGAGUGAGGGGGAGAUGGGGAGCGUUUCAGGUUCUUCUUUAUGUGGAGCGACACCUAGUGUUCAAACUAGGAACCUUUAAAACUUUCUUAAAGGUGCAGCAGUAGAGUUAUUUAUUUCUUACUUGUACCAAUAACCUGGAAAACAUGCAGCACAUGAUAAAACAUAAUGGUUUAAGCAAUUGUUUGGAUUGGCCUCCUGUCAGUCAUUUUGUAGACACGCCCCAACGCCCCUUCGCUCCGCCCCUUCGCUCCGCCCCCACCGCAGCUUGUUAGGAAAGAAAAGAAACAUGACUUAAGGACAUGAAAUGCAGUAACACCAGGAUAAACACUGGUAGUGCUUUUCCAAUAUGGAGUAUUUUAUUAUUUAUGAAGGAAUGAAGCUGGAUGUGCAGUUAGAGAUGCUGCUCAUUGACAGGUCUGUAAACACAACCUGUAUAAAGCUCUGAACUGUUUCAGUGGCUUCUUCACAGAACCAAUGCAGCAGACAGGUUCUUCACCUAGAGAGUCGUGUAAGGACUAUUUCUAGUGCUGUAAUUUGCCUAUCAAGCUGUUGAUUGGGCAAGAGGGCAAACUGUUUUGUAAGUAAGUAUUUAAAAAAAAAUACUUACUUUAAAUAUGUAGUCAGCAUGGCACUUUUUAUGAAGCGAUGACAUUUUUAUGA